This is an RNA transcript of Tripterygium wilfordii, 2647 nucleotides long. It is a transcript of the gene named inactive poly [ADP-ribose] polymerase RCD1-like, with no coding region annotated. NCBI's taxonomy places the organism in Eukaryota, Viridiplantae, Streptophyta, Magnoliopsida, Celastrales, Celastraceae. The record is from RefSeq and is a predicted model, not a curated record. The transcript is spliced from 9 exons.
GAGGUCAAGGUAUACGCCUCACCCACCAAUGAGAUCCUCCGUGGUCUAAUUCAUAGCCAAUUUAGUUGUGGCGGUGAUAGAUUGUUGUCUUGGCGGCGUCGUUGUAGCUUUUCCUUGUUCGUAACUCUUUCUUGCUUUUCGCCGAAGAGACAGAAACGAACACGCGGAGACCGCCGACUCGAACACCCUCUAACGCCGCUGUAAGGAGGCUAGGAGCAGCGCUACUGAGGUUUGUGAAUAAAUAAGGAAGUGGCUUUUCGUAUUUGAAUCGUAUAAGAAGGGCAGGUACACAAUGAAGACUAUCCAUAAUGCUUGUAUGUGUGAGCCUACUUCAAUGGUGUAUUUCCUGUGAGAAGGGGCUGUUGGAAGGCCACAUUUUCUGUUUUACUUUUUAUUUGGACAAUUGCCUGUGAAGUUGUUGAUCGGGAUUGAUCUAGUAGGUCGGAAUGGAAUCAAAGAUCGCAAAGGAAUUGGAUAGUAGUCGUAGAGUUGCACUGGGCUUGAAGAGAAAGCGAGCAUCUCACUCCGCAGCAUAUAUUGCCGGAGCUCCCAGAGCAGUGUUACCUCAGUGGUCAUCAUCUAUUCCGUUGACCCAUAACCUUGAUAAAUAUAGGAAGGUAGAUGGAUGCAAUGGCCGGCGUAUGAGCCGUGGAUAUGUUUCUACAAGAUUUUUGCAUCGCUGUUAUUCAAAUUUCCAGAGAAGUGGGGUUCCGAAGCGUAUUCUGUUGUACCAGAAUGGUGAAUGGACUGAUUUUCCUCAAGAUCUCAUUCGAUUGGUUAAGAAAGACCUUGACUCAAAGAAGGCAGCCGUUGAGGUGGAUAUGGACGGUGAUCCUUAUGUGCUGGAUUUUCUUCAUAUGUUUCGUUUGGACUUGAAAAGAGGUCUGCAACAACCGAUUGCUUGGAUUGAUGAAGCAGGUGGCUGCUACUUUCCUGAGAUUUAUGAUGAUGCUGAUGAAUAUGACUGCUGCAAACAUCAAUGUGGGAAAGAUCACAAGCCUUCAUGCGCGGGUGCCCAUGAGAUUAAACUGCAGCUUGAAAUUGACUUAAAUGGAGAAUCUAAAUUAAAGGAAUGCAGUGGGGAGUCGGAUGAUGUUAUUGAGGAGAUUCAAGGUGCUUGCAACAUGAAGUCUGAUGAGAAAAUCAUUGAAGUUGUUGAGACAAAUAAACAGAUAAAGGAAUUUAUGGCCACUGGAGCAAUGUCUGCUAAUGAAAAGUUGGAUUCUGAUAUUGUUCAAAAGAUUUUUCAUGAUGGUAUAACGCCUUCUUGUGGUGCAGAAAUACUUGAUUUAUAUCGCUGUUCUAGUGCUUCAAUGCCAGCCCGUUUAGAGCUUUUUGAGAAGCAGGUUGAAAUCACAAAAAAGUAUCGCGGAGAUGCAAAUGUCCGUUAUGCUUGGCUUGCUUCCUCUAAAGGAGCACUGUCUACGAUCAUGAUGUAUGGGCUUGGGCAUUAUGGACCAUUGAUGACUACGUGCAAGUAUGGCAUUGGCGUUCCUCUUGCUGCAGCGAACUGCCCUGGUGCCAGUGUGGAUUAUUGUGAUGUUGACGAAAAUGGUGUUCGAUACUUGUUAUUUUGCCGUGUGAUACUGGGAAAUAUGGAGCCCCUUUGCCCUGAGACCCGACAGUUCCAUCCCAGUAGCGAGGAAUUCGACAGUGGAGUGGAUAAUCUUCAGAAUCCGAGGCAUUAUGUGAUCUGGAAUAUGAAUGCGAAUACCCACAUUUAUCCAGAAUUUUCUGUUGGUUUCAAAGUCUCUUCCAAGAAUGAAGUACCUGCGUUCCUCUACUUGAUGGGCUCUACAGGUGAUCUGGCUGGAAGAGAGAGCAAGCAUUCAGGUUCAGGGGUUACUAUUCCCUCUCAAGGUCGUCAGGGAAAUAUGCGAUUUAACUCCUCUGCUGUUGAUCUGGGAAAAGAUGCUAGUUUGGGUUCGGCCACUUCGAGGACUCCAAAAUCCCCCUGGAUGCCUUUCCCUAACUUGUUUGCUGCCAUCUCAGACAAAGUUUCUCCUAGAGAUAAGAAACUUAUAUCUGGUCACUAUGAAUUAUUCAGGGCUAAGAAGUUAAAUCGGGAUGAUUUUGUCAAAAAUUUGAGGCUGAUAGUCGGAGAUGCAUUGCUGCGAAGUACAAUAAUCAAACUUCAAUCCAAGUGAUUACCUAUUAGAGGACACAUAAUAUUGUGGUGCAUGUUGGGUUUUCUAGUGAAUCGUCAGAUUGAGUUUUCACUGAAGAAAUCACCUUUCCGAUACCAUCAGCUUGUCUAACUGAUGCAUCGAAGCCGAAUAUUGAAGGUUCAGGUGGCCCUUGAUUGGUCAUGGUGCCUCGUACUUGAUUCUGGCCUGGUUUUCCAUAUGGUGUCCGGGAGCUUACAUUAAACUUCAUUCUGGGUAAUGGGUAUUGCAAUGCGUCGACUUGAAGUUGUGAAUAUUAUAACGGGCUGGUUACAAGUAUUGUAGGUCUUAGUUUUCUGAAAAGUUCUAGGAGUUUGCUCGUCUAUUUUCCUUGUUUUCUGGUUAGUGAACUAUGUUUUCAACACUUGUCAAACUGUAAAGUGUUUAAAUUUUGAACUCUCUUGAACCUUGGAUACAUUUUUUUUUCCUGCAUGUGGACAAUUCCAAUAAUUAUUUCCUAGUUGGUACUUCCGGCAGCAUGA